UACUGCGGAGGUCAUUAACGAGUUUUGAAUGGGUUGUAGCUGGUCUUAAACAAAGACAUGUGCACACCCUGCUCAUCCACUCUUCAUACCCCUGUGCACCUAUUGUAGGCUUGGUGGGAUAGCUAUUUGAUUAGCUUGAAAGCCUUGUCUAUGUUUUACUACAAACAUGUCAGUUAAAGAAUGUAACAAGUUGCGUUUAACGCAUUUAAAUACAACUUUCAGCAACGGAUCUCUUGGCUCUCGCAUCGAUGAAGAACGCAGCGAAAUGCGAUAAGUAAUGUGAAUUGCAGAAUUCAGUGAAUCAUCGAAUCUUUGAACGCACCUUGCGCUCCUUGGUAUUCCGAGGAGCAUGCCUGUUUGAGUGUCAUGGUAUUCUCAAACCUUUAAAGCUUUAGAGCGAUAAAGGCUUGGAUUUGGAGGUUGUGUUGGCGCAAGUCAACUCCUCUUAAAUGCAUUAGCGUGAAUCUUUUACGGAUCGCCUCCAGUGUGAUAAUUUGUCUACGCUGUGGUGUUGAAGUAUAAAUGUAGUGUUCAUGCUUCUAACUGUCUUGUAACGAGACAAACAUAAUUGACAAUCUGACCUCAAAUCAGGUAGGACUACCCGCUGAACUUAAGCAUAUCA
Molecule: ribosomal RNA, 622 nt
Filed under: Porophlebia fimbriata
Lineage: Eukaryota; Fungi; Basidiomycota; Agaricomycetes; Polyporales; Meruliaceae
Description: eukaryotic LSU rRNA
Rfam family: 5.8S ribosomal RNA (bases 214-367)
Source: RNAcentral